This 446-nucleotide ribosomal RNA is filed under the name uncultured bacterium. Its description in RNAcentral is "bacterial SSU rRNA". It matches the Rfam family "Bacterial small subunit ribosomal RNA", at positions 329 to 793 of the family's 1533-position model. The record is from RNAcentral.
UUCCAGACUCCUACGGGAGGCAGCAGUGGGGAAUAUUGCACAAUGGGUGAAAGCCUGAUGCAGCAACGCCGCGUGAGUGAUGAAGGCCUUCGGGUCGUAAAACUCUGUCCUCAAGGAAGAUAAUGACGGUACUUGAGGAGGAAGCCCCGGCUAACUCCGUGCCAGCAGCCGCGGUAAUACGGAGGAUGCGAGCGUUAUCCGGAUUUAUUGGGUUUAAAGGGUGCGCAGGCGGUCUGUUAAGUCAGCGGUCAGCGCCGGGGCCCCCCCCCCGCCCCGCCGUUGAAACUGGCAGUCUCGAGUUGGAGAGAAGUAUGCGGAAUGCGCGGUGUAGCGGUGAAAUGCAUAGAUAUCGCGCAGAACUCCGAUUGCGAAGGCAGCAUGCCGGCUCCACACUGACGCUGAGGCACGAAAGCGUGGGUAUCGAACAGGAUUAGAUACCCUGGUAU